GGCUUUCACUCAAAACCAACAGUUUACAAUCAAACCAAACAGAUUUAUUUCGGUUUGGUUACGAUUAUGAAUAAAGAAUAGGAGACUUGUUGGAGGAGAAAAGAUAGGUACAUGCUUUGAUUAUUAAUGAGAAAAGAAUUGAGAAGAUGACAAAGGAAAGAAAGGAGGAAAGAUGUAAUGAUCAUUGACAUGAAAUUAAGGGCAAU
This 206-nucleotide unclassified non-coding RNA is filed under the name Hevea brasiliensis (rubber tree). The record is from RNAcentral. Lineage: Eukaryota; Viridiplantae; Streptophyta; Magnoliopsida; Malpighiales; Euphorbiaceae.